UACAGAGGGGGCAAGCGUUGUUCGGAAUUACUGGGCGUAAAGGGCGCGUAGGCGGCCUUCUAAGUCGAACGUGAAAUCCCCGGGCUCAACCCGGGAACUGCGUCCGAGACUGGAAGGCUUGAAUCCGGGAGAGGGAUGUGGAAUUCCAGGUGUAGCGGUGAAAUGCGUAGAUAUCUGGAGGAACACCGGUGGCGAAGGCGGCGUUCUGGACUGCAACUGACACUGAGAAACGAAAGCCAGGGUAGCAAACGGG
Molecule: ribosomal RNA, 253 nt
Filed under: uncultured bacterium
Lineage: Bacteria
Description: partial 16S ribosomal RNA
Rfam family: Bacterial small subunit ribosomal RNA
Source: RNAcentral